Molecule: non-coding RNA, 102 nt
Organism: Mycena rosella
Lineage: Eukaryota; Fungi; Basidiomycota; Agaricomycetes; Agaricales; Mycenaceae
Source: the annotation of a GenBank genome assembly
GAGCCAGUGGCGAAGGGUACCGCGUCCGCCUCAUAUGAUCGUGGUUCAAUGAGUGUAAAUCUUGGCACGCGGAAGGUCCGGGUUCGACUCCCGGCUGGCUCA